GGACAGCGGGUGUGGGAGUCUUCCUUCCCUUGCACCUCCCCAACCCCCACCCCACCACCCAGACCUGCAGCCCGUGGUAAUUGCAGGGAAACAGUCUGUUCCUAAGCAAACAGCACAUGAAGCAGGUGCCAGGGCGCAUUCAUUAAUCUCCCAGGCCCAGAGAAGGGAAGAAGGUCUCUGAGGAAGGGGAGAGGCCCUCCCAAGCCUAGACCCCAGCCUAGAGCCCAGGUAAAGGAAAGAGGGGGGCCUGUGGAGGAAAGGGAAGAGGGAGACAGGGAGGAGGGAAUCAGGUAAGGGGCACUGCUGUCCCCACCCCUGUCCCCCUGCCAUGCAGUCACUGGGCAAGAAGUUGCCACAAGAAGAACUGAAUGGAGGGGAGUUCGAGGAGGGGAAGGAGAAGGAUGCUGUACUGUUCCCGGCCAGGACAGAAGCCAGUCUUGGGAAGUGACACUUGAGUAACAGAGCCGCCACCCACCGCCCUCCACUGCCAGCUCUCAGCACCGCCUCCCACCGGUUCGAUCCUCCUUUGGCUCUCUCCACACCUAACUCUAAGGAGUUUGGAGAGUGGAACCAGGAAUUGGAAGAGACACCAAGAAAAGAAACACCUUGACAGGCAGAGGGCUGCUUGGACCUACAGUAAGGAUGCCAGACUCGAGUGGUCUUCUUCACAGGUCCUAGUGGGUGAGCGGCUGCUCCGCGCCUUGCCAGCCUGGGUCUAGUGCCGGCAUCUCCUCCUUAUCACCCCUGGUUCCUGUUUGCCUAUCAGUAGCCCUGCCACUGUGGCUCAGGACCCUGGCUGAAAACAGCCCGGGGGGCCUUAUCUUAUCUCCCGGGCUGCCUUCCCAGUGGCUUGUUGGCUGCCUGGUCCUAGUCUCUUAAAGGGGCUGCACUGCAUUCCCACUCAGUCUGGUCGCUAGAACACCCCCAGAAAUCUAGCAGAGCACUGCUGGUGGAGGGUCCGAUUCAUACCACCCCCUCCUCACACACCCUCUCCCAGCUACCUGGCUGCAGGGCUGCUGCUGGAAUGACUUACUGACUUUAAACAGGGAAAGAUGCUGAUGUUGUUACAUGCCUCUUUAAAUGCUUAUCAUAUCAUGCAAAUGCCCAGCACCUCGGUAUUUCCAGGCUCCUGCUCUGUUAAACUGAGUUUUUAAAAGGGGGGAGGGGCUCAGCAUACAAAGUCAAUAUAGAAAAAUCCGUAGUGCCUCUAUAUACUAGCAGCAAACAAUGAAGAUUGAAAUUUUAAAAACACUAUCUCUAAUAGGAUUAAAAACAUGAAAUGUUUAAGGAAUAAUCUUGACAAAAGACGAGGGAGACAGACCUACAUACGAAAAUUUAUAAGACACUGCUGAAAGAAAUUAAAUAAAAUAUAAAUAAGAAGAGAUAUAUCCACUUUGCUUGGAUCUCCAAUAACUAAGUUUAUCAAUCCUCCCCAUAUUUUUCUAUAGAUUGAACACAGUCUUUGGAAGUUCUUUGUAAACACUGGCACACUGACUGGGAAAUUCAUGGGGAAAUGCAAGGGACCUCUAAUAACUAAAAAUCUUUCAAAAGAAAGUACAAAGUUAGGGGUGCCUGGCUGGCUCGGUAGAGCAUUGACUCUUGAACUUGGGGGUUGUGAGUUCAAGUCCCAUGUUGGAUGUAGAGAUCACUUAAAAGUAAAAUCUUUAAGAAAAAAAAAAGUACAAAGUUAUAAGUCUUAGACUCUCUGACUUCAACAAUUUUCAUGAAUCUAAAGUAACCAAGACAAUGUGGUAUUGGUAUAAAGAUAUAUAUAUAUAUAGGGCUCCUGGGUGGCUCAGUGGGUUAAAGCCUCUGCCUUCCACUCAAGUCGUGAUCCCAGGGUUCUGGGAUCAAGUCCCACAUAGGGCUCUCUGCUCAGCAGGGAGCCUGCUUCCUCCUCUCUCUGCCUGCCUCUCUGCCUACUUGUGAUCUCUGUCUGUCAAAUAAAUAAAUAAAAUCUUAACAAAAAAAGAUAUAUACAUAUAUACACACACACACACACACAUAAAUGGAACAGAACAGAGAAUCGAGAAGUAAACCUAUGCACAUACAGUCAUUUGGUUUGCGAGAACAGUAUAGAAGCAAUUCACUGAGGGAAUGACAACCUUCUAAUACAUGCUACAGGAAAAACAGAGAUCCAUAUACCAAACACGAAACAAAGCCAAAACAAAACAAGCCCCCUGCCGCUACCUUAAAAAAUUAACUCAAAAUGGACCAAGAUCUAAAUGUGAGAGCCACAACUAUAAGAUUUCUAGAAGAAAACAUAGGAGAAAAAUCUUAGUGAUUUUCGGCUUGGCAAAUUUCUUAAACAACACACAAAAUUCGCCAACUUUAAAGAAAUGAUCAAUAAAUUGGAUUUCACCAAAAUAGCAAACUGCUCUUCAAAAGAAAUUGGCAAGCCAUAAACUGAGGGGCUAUGUUUGUGAAAUAUACAACUGAUGUAAGAUUUUUAUCUAGAAUGUACAAAGAACUUUUACAACUAAACAUGAAGGCGGCAAACAACACAAUAAAAAAAUAUAUGAGCAAAAGAUUUAAACAGACACCCCGCCAAAGAAGAUAUACAGUGUCAAAUAAAGUACAUAAGAAGAUGCUCCACGUCAUUAGUCAUUAGGGAAUGCAAAUUGAAUCCGCAAUGAAACAACACUACACCCACCCACCAGAAUAGCUAAAAUUAAGACUAAUCAUACCAAGUGUUGACAAGAAGGUAGGUGAAUUGGAACUCAUCCACUGCUGGUGAGGAUGGAAAUGGUACAUCCACUUUGGAAAAGUUCAGCAGUUUCUUAAAAAGUUAAACAUAGAGGGGCGCCUGGGUGGCUCAGUGGGUUAAAGCCUCUGCCUUCGGCUCUGAUCCUAGGGUCCUGGGAUCGAGCCCCACAUUGGGCUCUCUGCUCAACAGGGAGCCUGCUUCCUCCUCUCUGCCUCUCUGCCUACUUGUGAUCUGUCUGUCAAAUAAAUGAAUAAAAUCUUAAAAAAAAAAAGUUAAAUAUGGAGUUAUCAUACAAUCCAUUGUUUCUGAGGUAUUUACCCAAAAGAAAUGAAAGCAUAUGUCCAUACAAACUUGUUCACAAAUGUUCACUGCAGCUUGUUUGCCAGAGCCCCAAACUCCAAAAAAAUAAAUAAAUAAAAGAAUGUCCACGAACAGGUGAAUCCAAUGCAUGUGUUACAUCCAUACAAUGGGUGAAGACUUGGCAAUAGAAAGGAGUGAAUUAUUGAUACAUACAACAGCACAGACACAUCUCAAAAUAAUUAUGCUGAGUGAAAGAAGCCAGACCCCUCAACUAAAAAAUGUGUACUGGGGGCGCUUGGGGGGCUCAGUGGGUUAAAGCCUCUGCCUUCAGCUCAGGUCAUGAUCCCAGGGUCCUGGGAUCAAUGGAGCCCUGCAUCGGGCUCUCUGCUUAGCAGGGAGCCUGCUUCCCUUCCUCUCUCUCUGUCUGCCUCUUUGCCUAAUUGUGAUCUCUGUCAAAUAAAUAAAUAAAAUC
Long non-coding RNA from Mustela lutreola (European mink), 3479 nucleotides. RefSeq lists it as uncharacterized. The record is from RefSeq and is a predicted model, not a curated record. The transcript has 4 exons. Lineage: Eukaryota; Metazoa; Chordata; Mammalia; Carnivora; Mustelidae.